CGUUACCAAACAGCCAAUAAGUUUCAGCUGCGCUAAAGGAAAUUCCGAGGCAAGUUUUGGCGAGUUUUGGUGAAUUUCGGGAAAGGUUCAAGAGACGACGAGGCGAGCAUAGUUAAGAGUAAUCCAUAAGAGGUACAGAUGAUUGGUUUGCUGAUCCGCUCGCUUAGGACAUCCACCAUGUUGGUCGACAGUGCUCCUUUGUUCGGAGUCCUAUUUUGGUACUGACACCUUCUGUUGUAUAUAUAUAUACAUUGUUCAGGGUACGGCGGAGCCCUGUCCCGUCAUAUGACUAGGAUAUCAUUCCGUAGAGGUCUGUAGACAUGAGAUGUGGGUUUUGUAUAUAUGUUUUGGGUUUUUUUUUGUUUCGUGAUGGCCUAUCGGCCCUCGUGCAUUAUAUCUGUUUAGAGAUCCCUUCUAAUCAUUACCUAUGUUUAUUCGAUUAAUGUACUA
Molecule: long non-coding RNA, 450 nt
Organism: Solanum dulcamara
Lineage: Eukaryota; Viridiplantae; Streptophyta; Magnoliopsida; Solanales; Solanaceae
Exons: 3
Source: RefSeq, a predicted model, not a curated record